AAUCAACGCUGGCGGCGUGCCUCAGACAUGCAAGUCGAACGAUUAAAGCUCUCUUCGGAGAGUGUAUAGAGUGGCGCACGGGUGAGUAACACGUAAGUAAUCUACCCUCGAGUGGGGAAUAACAACCGGAAACGGUUGCUAAUACCGCAUAAUGCAGCGGCACCGCAAGGUGACAGUUGUUAAGGAUUUAUCGCUUGAGGAGGAGCUUGCGGCAGAUUAGCUAGUUGGUAGGGUAACGGCUUACCAAGGCUACGAUCUGUAACCGGUCUAAGAGGACGGUCGGUCACACUGACACUGAAUAACGGGUCAGACUCCUACGGGAGGCAGCAGUCGGGAAUUUUGGGCAAUGGGCGAAAGCCUGACCCAGCAACGCCGCGUGAAGGAUGAAGUAUUUCGGUAUGUAAACUUCGAAAGAAUAGGAAGAAUUAAUGACGGUACUAUUUAUAAGGUCCGGCUAACUACGUGCCAGCAGCCGCGGUAAU
Molecule: ribosomal RNA, 482 nt
Filed under: uncultured bacterium
Lineage: Bacteria
Description: bacterial SSU rRNA
Rfam family: Bacterial small subunit ribosomal RNA
Source: RNAcentral